GACGAACGCUGGCGGCGUGCCUAAUACAUGCAAGUAGAACGCUGAAGGAGGAGCUUGCUUCUCUGGAGGAGUUCCGAUCGCGUGAGUGUCGCGUAGGUAACCUGCCCGGUAGCGGGGGAUAACAAUUCGAAAAGAUAGUUAAUAUCGCACAAGAGUAGAUGUAGCAUGACAUUUACUUAAUAGUUGCACUUUCAGCACUACCAGAUGUCCCUGCGUUGUUUUAGCUAUUUGGUGAGGUAACGCCUCACCAACGCCACGAUACAUAUCCGACCUGAGAGGGUGAUCGGCCACACUGGGACUGAGACACGGCCCAGACUCCUACGGGAGGCAGCAGUAGGGAAUCUUCGGCAAUGGACGGAAGUCUGACCGAGCAACGCCGCGUGAGUGAAGAAGGUUUUCGGAUCGUAAAACUCUGUUGUAAGAGAAGAACGAGUGUGAGAGUGGAAAGUUCACACUGUGACGGUAACUUACCAGAAAGGGACGGCUAACUACGUG
RNAcentral lists this ribosomal RNA (495 nucleotides) under uncultured bacterium. RNAcentral's name for it is "partial 16S ribosomal RNA". It matches the Rfam family "Bacterial small subunit ribosomal RNA", at positions 28 to 507 of the family's 1533-position model. The record is from RNAcentral.